CACAAAGAAAAGGAAAACCAUCGGCCACCCCACCAACGUUCUGACCGGGGAGACCCGUCAGCAACUGUGUCCAAAGAACACUCUGCAGGUGUGGUGGAGGGAGGCAUUCUGGGAGGGAAGGCUGUAAGGGUUCUGGGACCACAGAAAUCAUUGGUUCCCAAGGGGAGGAUUUAGCUGGGACUUGAAGGAAGCUCAGGCCAGAGGGAGGAGGGUAAUCAUUCCCUGCAGAGAGACAGCCCCUGGAAAGGCCCAGAAUCGGGUCGUGGAAGGUCUUGGCCAAGGAUCAUCCUGGAGACCUGUGUCCCUGAGUCUGAGGAGGAGGAGGAAGGUGUGAGGAGAUGGGAAGGGGCUGGAAGGUCAUAUGCCAUUGGACCCUGUUGUGGGAAUGGUCGGGGUCCUUGGCAGUGAUAGCCAGAAUCGGGCCGCUGGGGGGAGCCCAGGAACGGCCCUCACACAGAAAAUGGGGCCUUUUUUUUUUUCAGAAGAGGAGCUUCGAGGGUUCAGCAGAGCUAUUUGUCCCAGACCCAGGAGCUGGGUAGAUGCCUUCUCUGGUAGACCUUGCUUGAUGUAUUUAUUUUUUGCCUAUGGUCUUCCUCCCUCAUUGAAUUGUCAGCUCCUUGAGGACAAGAGUUGUCUUUUGCCUUUUGGGGAAUCCCCUGGGCUGAGCACAGGGCCCCGUAUAUAAAAGGCAUUGAAUGUCGAUGGAAUGGAAUCGAACAUUUCUGGUCCUUUUGAAAACCUGAGUAUGUCGCUCUCUUGUUUGUCUUCUCCCAUUUGGUUCUAAAAGAUGCAUUCACUUGUAGAUGGGACAUCACAAGAGUCUUUCCAUGACACCCUGUGUCUUUGGCUUCACCCUAACCCUACCAGGUUUCUCUCCUUCUAUUGUUAUUCUGCUACGAUUGUGGUCUGGAGUGACUCACUCCUCCUUUGUACGGUGUGGAGUUUUCCACAAACACAUUUCAGGUUUUCAUUCUAAAAGUAGGUCAGGCUACUUUUCAUGGGUGAGCAUUGACUUUUUGGGCCAUGAUGGUAGGGCUCCCAUUGGCAGGGGUUGGGAGUGACAUUUAACAAAAAGGUCAACGGAGGCCGUUCUCCAAACAAGAUGAAUGGGCAUUCUGCCUGUCCAUGAAGAAGUCGAUGGCGUUACGUCCUCUACAAAGAACAGAAUAGGUGCCAGAGAAUGGAGGGCAACGAAACUGGUUUGGAGCGAGGAUGUAGAAACAGUAUGAUUGAUUGGAAGUUGAGUAAACGGGCGCCAGCCAGCCUUUGAGUUCAAAUGCAAAGGCAAAGCCCUGACUUUGGACAGCAAAAGAAACCUCUUUGAGGGAUUCUUGGAUGGUGAAAGAAUGCUACAGCGGAGAGGAUGUUUUGGCAGAAGAAACGUGUCUGCAAGGAAAUACCCAGGAGUGCCGUGGAGCAGUGAUUGACAGGAGAGAACUUGCUUCGAGUCUUAGAACCUUGGAGGAGGGGGAGCUUGGAAGUUCAACAAGGGGAGUUACGAGGGAACUCCGAGACCCUUACUCCAGCCUUUGGCAGAGAACCCCACGGCGGCCAAGGAUUUCCUCCUCGAACCUGACAUCCACAGAGUCUAGACAGGUUUCCUGUCCCUAGAAGAAGAAGAAGACCAACGAGGGAGCAGAGUGGAACGGCCGAGUUUACCCUGAGGUAGACAGACUUGCUCACCAGCGUCACCUAAUGUCUGGAGACUUAUUCCCUCUGUGGAUGAGCCUCCAGUGAGACAGCGUCCCCAAACCCCUAGGCAGAGAGGAGAUUUCAAAUGGGCCUUGGCUCUAGCCGAGGGCUGACAAGACCGGACAUCGAAAACGACUUCUUUAGUUUAGGGAAAACGACACCCCUCUUUCCUGAUCCUGCCCGUGUUUGCUGUACACAAAUACAUGUUAACACCCGAGAAGCCGUCACAUUCAUCGAAGAGAAUCCUUAUUCUUAUGAAUAAACUCAUGCCACAAAUUAAUUCCUGUUUUUUG
Molecule: long non-coding RNA, 1985 nt
Organism: Monodelphis domestica (gray short-tailed opossum)
Lineage: Eukaryota; Metazoa; Chordata; Mammalia; Didelphimorphia; Didelphidae
Source: Ensembl